RNAcentral lists this long non-coding RNA (1328 nucleotides) under Mus musculus (house mouse). RNAcentral's name for it is "predicted gene 10739". Lineage: Eukaryota; Metazoa; Chordata; Mammalia; Rodentia; Muridae. The record is from RNAcentral.
AGGAAAGAAAGAAAGAAAGAAACCAGCCUGUUUAAAUUCUUGUUUUCAUCUCCAUUUCUUGUGAAUUAUUAUACAAACAUAAAACAGCUUGAUUUUGUAAGAAAAGCUUUUAGUUUUCUGCAGAAUGACCUCAAGUGAACAGUGUCUUUAAAAAUCUAAUUCAGAGGAAGAAAAGUCAAGACACCGUUACUCUGUGUUUAUGGAAACUGUUUCAUGCGUGGUAAGCAGGAUUCAUUGCAUGAUCUUUUGGGGAAAAUGAAGCCAUUGAAAUUGGUUAGCUCACUGCACAGCAAUAUACCACACCAGUAGCAGCUUAUAUUGAUGCUGAAAAGCCAGUGGGGUUACUCAAAACAUUGUCUCAACCCGUGGAAGAUGGAUUCAAAAGCAUCUUCAGAGGAUACACCUGAAGCAAUGGAAAAGAAUGGUGAGAUGGAGUCACUGAACCAAGAAGAAUAGAGUACUUCUACCAACAAUGAUUCAGAUAAAGAAAUCAGUUGAUUUUGGGAAAAGAAUUAGUGAGUUCUCAGGGGAGGGGUUUGACUGCAGCUUUCUUCUUCCUGGCUAUGUUGUCUCUUGACUGCAUCUGUUACUGCUGAGACACUUCAUGUUUAUGUACAUGUUCUUUCAGUGCUUUGCUUUAUUAACUGUAAAGAGAAUAACAUUCUUGUUCACGUUAAUGAUUCUCAACUUAAUUAGAGUCAGAUUAAUAAUCACCUUACAGUAAUAUGGCCACAUAGCAAUUUGGGUAUUGAUAUUUAGGCUUUGCAUGAUGAAAUAUUAACUAUUGAGCACUCAAAGUUAGAUGAAUUACCCUUUUCCAAUGCUGUGCAAAACCUAGCAAAGAUAUUUGGCCAUUAUUUUUCUGUCUGUAAUUGGAUUCUCAAGUUGUGGUCCAUAGGAAUGUCUCUGUGAACUUUGUUAUUGGUUAUACUAAGAAGUAAAAUAGCCUUCAGUAUCAUUUGCUACUACAUGUCUGCUUUGAAGAAUGGCCUGCAUAGCCUGAAAUUUAAAAAACAUAAAUAAAUAAGGAGGAACUGCAGGGAGUCAUGGAGUUGGCCUGGUCUUCCUGCCUUCACCAGCAUGUUUUGGGUCUUUUCUGUUUGAGUCUGUGGCUAAGGGGGCACUGUAUAACUUUCAGUUACUGAGAAAGCAAAGCACACCUUCAGGCAGUACAGCAUUCAGCCCAUCUGUGUAUCUCUGCAUCCUGUAGAGUCAGAAAAACUUAUAGAAGAUAGGCUUACAAUUAGUUUUAUAAAUUAACCUUGUGUACUCUGUUUAGAUUGCAAACUUCAUUCUAUCCUGACAAAUAAAACUGUAGUUUUCAUAGC